RNAcentral lists this ribosomal RNA (492 nucleotides) under uncultured bacterium. RNAcentral describes it as "partial 16S ribosomal RNA". It matches the Rfam family "Bacterial small subunit ribosomal RNA", at positions 29 to 507 of the family's 1533-position model. The record is from RNAcentral.
AGUGAACGCUGGCGGUAGGCCUAACACAUGCAAGUCGAACGGCAGCACAGUAAGAGCUUGCUCUUACGGGUGGCGAGUGGCGGACGGGUGAGGAAUACAUCGGAAUCUACUUUUUCGUGGGGGAUAACGUAGGGAAACUUACGCUAAUACCGCAUACGACCUACGGGUGAAAGCAGGGGAUCUUCGGACCUUGCGCGAUUGAAUGAGCCGAUGUCGGAUUAGCUAGUUGGCGGGGUAAAGGCCCUCCAAGGCGACGAUCCGUAGCUGGUCUGAGAGGAUGAUCAGCCACACUGGAACUGAGACACGGUCCAGACUCCUACGGGAGGCAGCAGUGGGGAAUAUUGGACAAUGGGCGCAAGCCUGAUCCAGCCAUACCGCGUGGGUGAAGAAGGCCUUUGGGUUGUAAAGCCCUUUUGUUGGGAAAGAAAAGCAGCAGGUUAAUACCCCGCUGUUCUGACGGUACCCAAAGAAUAAGCACCGGCUAACUUCGUG